CACCUGUCAGCCCUGCUGGAAGGUAUGCCUGUUUGAGAAUCAUAUUCAUCUGACCAUUCAUCCGUGAUUGGUCGACCUGGGCCCUCACCACUGAUCGCCUCGAAUUGCGCGCGGUCGUCAUGGCAUGUCACUCGACACUAUCGGCGACCACAAUUCACGCUCAUGAUCUCAAAUCAGGCAAGGCUACCCGCUGAACUUAA
RNAcentral lists this unclassified non-coding RNA (200 nucleotides) under soil metagenome. RNAcentral's name for it is "partial contains 5.8S ribosomal RNA, internal transcribed spacer 2, and large subunit ribosomal RNA". The record is from RNAcentral.